This is a non-coding RNA of Chrysemys picta bellii (western painted turtle), 1185 nucleotides long. The record is from RefSeq and is a predicted model, not a curated record. Lineage: Eukaryota; Metazoa; Chordata; Testudines; Emydidae.
AGGAAAGGGGAAGGCAGCAGGAUUCGCGGAAGAGCCCAGCACGCAAAGGGUUAAAGAUUUUAAAAACGACGCGCGCGCUCAACCAGCGGCGCUCCCCUCCUUGGUGCGCUGCAAGGAAACGGCCGGAGCCGGGCCCGAUCCUGCACCGGUGCCAGGGGCUCAGCCCUGCACGCUCUCUCCCGGCCCCUCCGUGCAAACCAGCCGGCCAUGUGCAUGCUCCACGUGCAGUCGUAGGGCGGCGGGGGGGGGACAGCACAGUUGCUCCGCAGGUCACAGCGGCUGCACGCAGGAAUGGAGCUGGGGGAGGUGGGGUGCAGCUUGGUCGGGUGCCCGGUCCCUCAACCUCAACUGGCCAUUGUACUUCGGCAGCUCGGGCACACGCCAGCAGAACCCUGGGUCUUCAUUUCAUCCUGGAUCGGUCAAAGAGGAAGGACUUCCGUGAUGAAAUUAUGGUUGACAAUCUGGACAGGGCCAACAAGCAGGUGCAAUAUCAAAGAGGGAAGGAUUCACGGCAAGUUGAAAGAACAGGCAGGCUGCAGAGCUUGAGGACAAAAUAGCACUGCGGGAGCUGACACUUGCAUCUUGGUUCCUGAAACAGGAACGUGAGUUGAGUGAGGAAGACAGAGCGCAGUGGAAAGUCCGGUUUGAGAGGCUGCUUUCACUAAUGGCCACUAGAGUGCAGGAUCCUGCAUUGCCCGCUCCACAGUCUGAGUCCCCUCCACGGUACCAUGCGCUGCAGACCAGGAACACUUUGGAUAAUUCCAUGGUUGGUGGGUGGCCCAUGCAACCAGGACUUAACAGUAGCUGGACAGGGCAAAUCUACCCCUGCAGUCCUCCAGCCCCCAUCCAGACCCUAUUCCCCCAGCACACAUCCACCCCUAUGCUGACCCCCUCCUCCCUGCAGACUCCACCCUCCAAACAGUGGCACCCAGUGCAUGCUAAACGCACAUGAACGAGAAAGCAGAACAUGCCAGAGGACUCGCAAACUUAGGGGAUUGUUUUGAUGGCACUGGUUUCACUGUUUACACCAGGCAAUGUUUGGUUUAUGCACUUUGUUUUAUUACUGGUUUUAGUGUUGGUUUAACAUAUAAACUGUACACCAGCUACCAUUAGAACACCAAAACAGCACCCUCUCUCUCUCUGUAAUACAUCCGUAUUCACAAAUAAAGGCUUUUAUUUAAUUAA